Molecule: long non-coding RNA, 316 nt
Filed under: Gallus gallus (chicken)
Lineage: Eukaryota; Metazoa; Chordata; Aves; Galliformes; Phasianidae
Source: RNAcentral
CUCGAUGAGGUCCUGCCAUGAGCGCCGCUGGCUCGCUGUCUUGCGCACUGGUGAGUCGGUGACACUCCCUGCCGCCUCUGGGCGGAACUCCUCAUGUGAUGACUGUGACUGGGAGGUCUCUGUGGAGGAGAGGCGGCUGUGCUUUGGCUCCACGUAGGGACUGGUGCAACUCAUCGAAGGAGGCCGUGGGUACGUAUCAUAUGGGGGUGGUGGGCUGUCUUGUUUGGGUGUCGAUGGAGUGUCAGCCUCCUCCUUAUCACUCUCACUCCAGUAAUCUUGCUCUUGUUUGAUCCUCUCCCUUUCUGCAUAGCCAGCA